This 261-nucleotide unclassified non-coding RNA is filed under the name Hevea brasiliensis (rubber tree). Lineage: Eukaryota; Viridiplantae; Streptophyta; Magnoliopsida; Malpighiales; Euphorbiaceae. The record is from RNAcentral.
CUCUUUCAGAUGGUGGCAAUCCAGAACUCUUUCUCUUACGAUAUACGUCUUUCGUAGCAUUCUUGUCUCCAGUAUUCCGUGGGGCCCAGGAAAAAGCUCUGCGAGCUUCUUUUUGCAAGUUACUUAAGCUGCUACUAAAUGAUGACCUUGCAGGCGCACCUGUUUUUGUUUUUGGUUUCGGUCUUGCUCCAGACACAGAAAUCCGAGGUUCUCUGGAGGGAGAACUUAUACUUACAGCAAUAGCUUUAGCAGCAUAUGAAA